This 335-nucleotide small nuclear RNA is filed under the name Pelecanus crispus (Dalmatian pelican). RNAcentral describes it as "7SK RNA". It matches the Rfam family "7SK RNA". Rfam says of the family: 7SK was discovered as an abundant small nuclear RNA in the mid-70s but a possible function has only recently been suggested. Two independent studies have found that 7SK RNA binds the CDK9/cyclin T complex (known as elongation factor P-TEFb). Lineage: Eukaryota; Metazoa; Chordata; Aves; Pelecaniformes; Pelecanidae. The record is from Rfam by way of RNAcentral.
AGAUGUGAGGGCGACCUGGCUGCGACAUCUGUCACCCCACUGAUCGCCAGGGUUGAUUCGGCUGAUCCGGCUGGCUAGGCGGGUGUCCCCUUCCUUCCUCCCUCACCGCUCCAUGCGCGUCCCUCCCGAAGCUGUGCGCUCGGUCGAAGAGGACGACCUUCCCCGAUAGAGACGUACCGUUCAUCGGUCAAGGGUAUACGGUAGCUGCGCUCCCCUGCUAGAACCUCCAAACAAGCUCAAGGUCCAUUUGUAGGAGAACGUAGGGUAGCCAAGCUUCCAAGACUGCAGACACAUCCAAGUGAGGCACUACAUGGGCAAGUCUGCCAUUGGGGUUU